AACAAAACAAAUCUAGAGAAGAAAAUGAAACUAACAAAACAUAUCUAGAGACGAAAACCAAAUAAUAAUCUACUUUUAAAUCAAUUAGACCAUAAACAUAAUCCGCAAAACUAAACUAUUAAAUUCAAAACCAUAAGUUAAAGCCCAUAGAAAAAGUGAAAAAAAUUCUUAACUAAUCUUAUCAUCUAUCACAAAAAAUGACACAAUUGCAAGAAGAAAGCAUAAAAUUGAAUAUUCUUGUUCAUUUUUAUAAUUAUAUCAUGUCCAAUUGUAAUGUACUAAAUAUUCAUUUUAUUUGACUGUUUAUUUUUAUUGUACUAAAAUUCAUCUUAUAACUUUUACUUCGUAUUCCAUCGGAAAGGUGGGUUAGGAAAGGUUCUGUUCUUAGCCCAUCCACCGCUUCACAACCACCUUUCCCACCGCUUCUCUUGCUCGUCGGCGACUGGCGUUUUAUCUUCUGCCGUCGCCGGUUGGUUAGGGGGUUGGUGAGGUUCCGAUUAUCCAACAAAACAAGAAGCCAAGGUUAUCCUUAACGCCACCGUCAAAAGAAAAUUCGUUAAUCGUGUUCCCGGCGGUAAGGGUGAAGUUAAGGCUAGGGUUUUCUCUCUUAAUCCAAGGUUGGGUUUCGGUGAGGGAUCUUCUCGCGUUGGUCUUUUAAGGCUGCUGUUUGCGUUAGGUUUCGAUUCCGACGGUGAGGUAGUUCUUUAUGGUACUCUUCUUCCAGUGACUCUCAAUUUCAUAGCUUGUUUGCUUUCUUUGUGUCUAAUAAUUGAAUUCCUUUCCAUAUCUUGUUUGCUAGUAGUGGAUUUUGUGGAAAGGGUUUCUUUGUUGAGGUUUGGUGGUGAUUGUCUUUUUCUUGUUUGGGUUUAUAACUUCGUUUUAGUGUGGUUACUUUGGCUUGUGCAUCUGUCAAAGCGAACGGAGGUAGUAGUUCUAAGUCUUGGGGGUUGGGCUGAUUGGCCUCCCUGGUUGUUUGGGGAAGUAGGUAGUUUGCAGGAAGACAAGUCAUAUAGACGUUUGUUUAACUCCUCUUGUCUUAGUUUAGAUGAAGUUGGUAAGACUACUCUAUUUGGGGUUUUGGUCUUAAAGUGAGUAAUUCCUCGCGUUUUACUUUAGGACCUUUGAAGAUGGAAGACGCCAACGGGGGUCUUAGUUUACAAGAUCCUCCUUUUGCGCAAUUUUUUUUUUUUUUAAUAUCUUUUCAGAUAAGUGGUGAGGAGUAUGUUACGUUGUUUUGUUUGAGGAUUGCAAUCUCCGUUUUGGAAAGACGGAGGAAUGUUUAGAAUUAACAUUGGUUAAUUGUAUUUUUAAGUCUUUGUUUCGCUUAGCAAUGGUAGGGGUUAUCAUUGCUUUGUUUAACCUGUAUCUGAAGGAGGUACUUUGAGAACCUUUGUUACAUCAAAAAAAUCAGAUUUUUGA
Molecule: long non-coding RNA, 1419 nt
Organism: Chenopodium quinoa (quinoa)
Lineage: Eukaryota; Viridiplantae; Streptophyta; Magnoliopsida; Caryophyllales; Amaranthaceae
Exons: 2
Source: RefSeq, a predicted model, not a curated record